Molecule: ribosomal RNA, 454 nt
Filed under: uncultured bacterium
Lineage: Bacteria
Description: partial 16S ribosomal RNA
Rfam family: Bacterial small subunit ribosomal RNA
Source: RNAcentral
GAUGAACGCUGACAGAAUGCUUAACACAUGCAAGUCUACUUGAACUUCGGUUUGGGUGGCGGACGGGUGAGUAACGCGUAAAGAACUUGCCUCACAGAUAGGGACAACAUUUGGAAACGAAUGCUAAUACCUGAUAUUAUGAUUUUAGGGCAUCCUAGAAUUAUGAAAGCUAUAUGCACUGUGAGAGAGCUUUGCGUCCCAUUAGCUAGUUGGAGAGGUAACGGCUCACCAAGGCGAUGAUGGGUAGCCGGCCUGAGAGGGUGAUCGGCCACAAGGGGACUGAGACACGGCCCUUACUCCUACGGGAGGCAGCAGUGGGGAAUAUUGGACAAUGGACCAAGAGUCUGAUCCAGCAAUUCUGUAUGCACGAUGAAGUUUUUCGGAAUGUAAAGUGCUUUCAGUUGGGAAGAAAAAAAUGACGGUACCAACAGAAGAAGUGACGGCUAAAUACGUG